GGGGGUGAAUUGGUCUCGACGGAAAGAGUUGAGCAAAAGGAGCAUGCAGGGAUUGGCGACAGUAUCUCUUUAAAACGCUGUAGCAGACAGAAAUGUCGAAAACAAUGACUUUGCUCUCGCUGCCUAAUUAAGCACAGAGCCGGCGGUAUCAGUGUGGCAGCACGUGCAUUCAUACAGCCGUUAAUUUACGUGCGGGCACUUUAAGCUUCUGUUCGUAGCUUAACUUACCUAACAACCGAACUAGCUUUUAGAAAGAGUGCCUUUUCUCAAUCUAACAGCGAAUUCAAAGAAAAGGAGAAGCAUGUGGCGCCAAUUGUAUUUGCCUUUGCGGACCCGGGUUCGAUUCCCGGCACCUCCACCA
RNAcentral lists this transfer-messenger RNA (361 nucleotides) under Silvanigrellaceae bacterium. It matches the Rfam family "transfer-messenger RNA". Rfam says of the family: Bacterial tmRNA, also known as 10Sa RNA or SsrA, is named for its dual tRNA and mRNA-like properties. Its role is to liberate the mRNA from a stalled ribosome. The record is from RNAcentral. Lineage: Bacteria; Pseudomonadati; Bdellovibrionota; Oligoflexia; Silvanigrellales; Silvanigrellaceae.